GUCCGCCUAGCUCAGUAGGAUAGAGCAUGACACUCUUAAUGUCAAGGUCGCGAGUUCAACCCUCGCGGUGGGCC
This is a non-coding RNA of Mycena vitilis, 74 nucleotides long. NCBI's taxonomy places the organism in Eukaryota, Fungi, Basidiomycota, Agaricomycetes, Agaricales, Mycenaceae. The record is from the annotation of a GenBank genome assembly.